UUAGCGUCAAAAUUGAUUUAUAAACCUCAUCCUCCCGGGGGCUAUAAGCAGAGCUCAAAACCCAAAAGGGCUGGCGGGGCUUUUAAACCCCCCAGAGGGGCCUUUUUUAUAACUGAUAAUCCCCGUUAACCUCCCCCCUUCCUGUCUUUUCCGCCCCUAUAUCGCCGUCGUUCGCUUACACUGUGAAAACCAAUAGUGAGCAAUAUUGGUAAAACCCCAAACGUCAGGUCGAGGUGUAGUAAAUGAAGGGGGAAGAAAUAGGCUACAUUCGUUGACUAACGAUACGAAAAAAAUGUAGAAAAAUACUACGAAGGAGGAUUUAGCAGUAAGAAGAUGCUACCCUAUUUCCUGAAAGCGGCUCUGGAGCGCGCACACCCCGCCUGCCC
This 386-nucleotide ribosomal RNA is filed under the name Dunckerocampus dactyliophorus (ringed pipefish). RNAcentral's name for it is "partial small subunit ribosomal RNA". Lineage: Eukaryota; Metazoa; Chordata; Actinopteri; Syngnathiformes; Syngnathidae. The record is from RNAcentral.